This 1134-nucleotide long non-coding RNA is filed under the name Cavia porcellus (domestic guinea pig). RNAcentral's name for it is "lncRNA (ENSCPOG00000034601.1)". The record is from RNAcentral. Lineage: Eukaryota; Metazoa; Chordata; Mammalia; Rodentia; Caviidae.
CCGCCGGCCCGCCGAGGCCGCGGGCGGGCGAUCGGACCGUCCCGAGACCACCGGAGCGGACUGUUUGAAACUCACCAUGUCCCAACUGCGCCGGCGACAUCCUCCCUGCCCAGGCGCCCCAGGAGGAGCUGCGGCCGCGGAGCGCGCUUGGCCCGGAACGGAAACCCGGGUCUGCGGCCUCGCCCCUCGGACCCCAGCUCCCCUCUGCAGGCCCUGCAUCCUCCCCCAACGCAGCCGAGCCUCAGUGUCCUGAUCCGGGAAGUGGGCGCACAACGCCUGGCUGAGUGGUGACCUGUCCGAACUCAGCUCAGCCUUCCGCGCCGGGCCGGGACACAAAGGGACCGCUCUUCUGGCAGAUCCCCAUCUAGGGGAUCAUCGCCACAACGGGCUCGUGAUGUCUCCAUCGUGCCAAACUCGCAGCAAUAGCUGUCUUUUUCUGGAUCUUGGAGUUAGAAAAACAGCUACAGCAAAAGACCCCUGAAGGAAGCGCUUUGUCCCGAACACUCGCGAAUCCUCACAUGUGGCCCCACGCUGGCCCUCUGAACUUCUCCCCGGGAUGCCCACUUGAGGGACGGAAGUCGCAUCUCCCUGGGAGCCAGCGACUUCCCCCGAGGCGGCGUAGCAGGGUGAGUGCUGCUGCGCUGGGUUGAAAGCCAGGCGUUGCCCUCAGCUGUUUUUGUUUUUCGCCACGUUUCUUUUAGCUUUCUGCUUCUAGCCCUGGUCUUUCGUACCUCAGGCCGAUCCUUUCUCUUUCCCAGAAGUCCUGUCCCCUACGGUGAAAAUCCAGACCCAGAGCUGUGGGAGGCCUCAGAGUGCCCAGGGGCCCUGGGAGCACAAAGGAUUGUUGCCGCCGCGAGGACUCCGCUCUGAAGGAGCUGCCGGCCCAGGCCCGCAGCCGUGGGCUAUGUUGUAGCCCGGUAGAAGUGCACUUGCCCCAGAACAUUUGGGAUCUUGAGUUCCCAUUCAAGCCUGCAAAAAGAAGCAGAACCCAUGGGCAUGUGUGCUCCAGGUGUCACUCCUCGUGCCCUCUGGGACCUGGCUCCUGUGAUGAUCAAGCAAGACUGGGCGUUCCUGGAUCGGGUUGGCAGCAGCCUCCAGAUGCGCUCCUGACUGUUCCUGGUACGUGGCUGCCAG